Molecule: long non-coding RNA, 498 nt
Organism: Zophobas morio
Lineage: Eukaryota; Metazoa; Arthropoda; Insecta; Coleoptera; Tenebrionidae
Exons: 3
Source: RefSeq, a predicted model, not a curated record
AACGGAAAUUUUAUUACAUCUUUUCAAAAAAGAUAAUGAUGUGAGUAGUAUAACAAUAGUGUACGAAGGAAAAAAUGAAAAUUACGAACUGGACGACGAAUUAGUCAAAGUUAUGAAAAAACAUCCUCACUUGUAUGAUGAAAAUCAUGACUUACAUCACAGCAAAAAGAAAAAAAGGAAAUCAUGGGGUGACAUUUCCAAAUUAUUGAAACUUGAUGUCGCGACCGCUCAAUGUAGAUGGCAAGAACUUCUUGAUAAUUUUGUACAGGAAUAUACAGAUUUUCCUCCUCUUGGAAAACCCUUACAAAAAAAGAAGGCUCACGAGCUCACACUUUUUGAUAAAAUGUUGUGGUUGGUUCCAUACCUUCCUAAAUGUCUCGAGGCAUCAACUGCUGCUACUGAAGUCCAAUUCGAAGAAAUGAAUAAUUUUGCAAAUAACGUUAGUACUGAAGAGAAAGAAGUAAACAAUGUUGAAAAUCCAUCACCACUAGUGAGUGA